GAUAAACGCUAGCGGCGUGCUUUAGGUAUGCAAGUAGAACGGUCCAAGCUUGCUUGGAUAGUUGCGAACGGCUGAGUAACACGUAGGAACUUACCUCUAGGUGGGGAAUAACUCAUCGAAAGAUGAGCUAAUACCGCAUGGUCUCCUGACUUUCGGGUCGUGGAGUAAAGGGCUUAACUGCCCGCCAAGAGAAAGGCCUGCGGCCUAUCAGCUUGUUGGUGAGGUAAUAGCUCACCAAGGCUAUGACGGGUAGGGGGCGUGAGAGCGUGUACCCCCAGAAUGGCACUGAGAUACGGGCCAUACACCUACGGGUGGCGCAACCGGGAAUCGUGCGCAAUGGACGAAAGUCUGACGCCGCGACGCCGCGUGAGGGACGAAUGCCUAUGGGUUGUAAACCUCUUUUGCCAAGCUGGAGACGGCUUGGAGAAUAAGCGCCGGCUAACUACG
This 447-nucleotide ribosomal RNA is filed under the name uncultured bacterium. Its description in RNAcentral is "bacterial SSU rRNA". It matches the Rfam family "Bacterial small subunit ribosomal RNA", at positions 28 to 505 of the family's 1533-position model. The record is from RNAcentral.